RNAcentral lists this ribosomal RNA (407 nucleotides) under uncultured bacterium. RNAcentral describes it as "partial 16S ribosomal RNA". It matches the Rfam family "Bacterial small subunit ribosomal RNA", at positions 355 to 774 of the family's 1533-position model. The record is from RNAcentral.
UGGGGAAUAUUGCACAAUGGGCGGAAGCCUGAUGCAGCAACGCCGCGUGCGGGAUGACGGCCUUCGGGUUGUAAACCGCUUUCGCCUGUGACGAAGCGUGAGUGACGGUAAUGGGUAAAGAAGCACCGGCUAACUACGUGCCAGCAGCCGCGGUGAUACGUAGGGUGCGCGCGUUGUCCGGAUUUAUUGGGCGUAAAGGGCUCGUAGGUGGUUGAUCGCGUCGGAAGUGUAAUCUUGGGGCUUAACCCUGAGCGUGCUUUCGAUACGGGUUGACUUGAGGAAGGUAGGGGAGAAUGGAAUUCCUGGUGGAGCGGUGGAAUGCGCAGAUAUCAGGAGGAACACCAGUGGCGAAGGCGGUUCUCUGGGCCUUUCCUGACGCUGAGGAGCGAAAGCGUGGGGAGCGAACA